UCGAAACAAACGACGCUAAGCUCAAUCAUUAAGCAUAUAGGGCUAGGGUUGACAAAAACUCACCGAUUGCGAAGGGAGCUCUCACAAUCUCCAAAUGGGAGCUAGAGUCCUUCCAAUCAAACCUAAACAAAGGUUCUAAACCCAUCAAUUUGAUACAAAAGCCCUCAAAACGAAAAUCCCCAAAUCUAACCCUAAAAUGCCAAAUCUAGGGUUUGAUCUAGUAAAAUCCAACAAAAUCCGAAUCUAGAGGAGAGAAAUUGCUACUAACCUUUUAGAAGCUCCAAACCAAGCUCCAAAGUCCUCUAGGGUUGAAGGUUGAUCCUCAAACAAGCUCCAACCAAGAUCUCACACUUCUCCAAUGGUGGAAAACCCACAAAAAGCAAGAAGGAGAAGAGAAAAGAGAUCAAAACUAGCAAAAAUCCAACAAAAAUGAAGAAGAAACCAAAGGGGAGGAGUUCUCACCUUAUCUUCUCUGUUCUAGGGCUCAAAAGAGCAGCCAUGAGGGCUGGGGUGACUUAUAUAGGCGUUGCAACAAUUGCAAAAACACCCCUCUACGAAACAGUCAAAAUCUGCACUGCGUACCGGUACACGGGUUUGUGUACCGGUACACUGCCCACGAAAUGCCAAACCCGAGCCUCGGGUUCGCUGGGAAAUGCUCUGUGUACCGGUACACAACCACGUACCGGUACAGCCAUCAACCCCGUACCGGUACAGCAAGCGAACCCGUACCGGUACACGGCCUGCUGAAGGCCACCCAAGAGCUGACCAAAAAUCCAACUUUUUGGAUUUUGGUACACAGCUUUAAACCACAAUUCUCGGGACUCGAACC
This 829-nucleotide long non-coding RNA is filed under the name Ananas comosus (pineapple). RNAcentral's name for it is "long non-coding RNA (ACOM_LNC030634)". Lineage: Eukaryota; Viridiplantae; Streptophyta; Magnoliopsida; Poales; Bromeliaceae. The record is from RNAcentral.